AUUGAACGCUGGCGGCAUGCCUUACACAUGCAAGUCGAACGGCAGCACGGGGGGUAACCCUCGUGGCGAGUGGCGAACGGGUGAGUAAUACAUCGGAACGUGUCCAGUAGCGGGGGAUAACCUCUCGAAAGAGAGGCUAAUACCGCAUACGACCUACGGUGAAAGAGGGGAUCGCAAGACCUCUCACUAUUGGAGCGGCCGAUGUCGGAUUAGCUAGUUGGUGGGGUAAAGCCUACCAAGGCUACGAUCCGUAGCUGGUCUGAGAGGACGACCAGCCACACUGGAACUGAGACACGGUCCAGACUCCUACGGGAGGCAGCAGUGGGGAAUUUUGGACAAUGGGCGCAAGCCUGAUCCAGCCAUGCCGCGU
Molecule: ribosomal RNA, 370 nt
Filed under: uncultured bacterium
Lineage: Bacteria
Description: bacterial SSU rRNA
Rfam family: Bacterial small subunit ribosomal RNA
Source: RNAcentral